ACUAUUUGAAUGUGUGUUGCUCCUUGUGGCAGGUAUACUGUUCCAAUGCCCUGGGAUCUCUGUAGUGGUCGGUACUGUAUUGAUUAUAAAUGGUGAAGUCCUAGUAUCUUGCUAGAGUGAGCUGGCCAGGAUGGUGGAGCUCUACCACCAUUUCACAGGUUAUAGACAGGGGCCACCAGGUUUCAGGAAAGCAGCAAUGACCCCUCAGUAAUAGUUGGAAAGUGUGAUAUGACACUGAGCUUCACUGUGUUGGUGAAGAAGAGGUGAGGAAAAUAAAAGCUGCAGUUUGCCUCCACCUCUGAAGAAGCACAAUACACCUUUCUGGGUUACCAAUGGGAUACUUCCCAACAGCUUUGUCAUCACAUACAAUAUUCUCAAACAAGAUCUUAAUGGCAUCUACUUUCUCCAGGAACACAGCCCCUGACCUGUGUGUGUUUGCGUAGAGAAGGCAUGCUAUGUACCCCCUAGGAUAUCAAGAUUCCUGUAGCAGAUUGAGCUCUGGCAGUUGAUCUCAGUGGCUUGAUAGAGUGUCAUUAUAAAAACGCACCUGGAAGAUUCUGUGGAAAAGACAACCUCAGAAGACCAAGGCUGACUUUGCAAGAGAGAGUCCGUUUACCACUUAGAACCGUGAACACCACCCCCGCCCUCAUUUAUCUCCAGACUUGAACUAGUGGUUAAAUCCCAACAUGUCCCAGAGAAGUCAAAAGCAUUGUAAAAUCUGGGAAUCUGCCCACCACUCAAGCCUGGGAAAGCUGGCAGAGGAUGCACGUGUUUUACUCACCUGAGUGUUUACAAUGCUCGUGAGGUGCCUCCCUGAUAGUACAGAGGAAUGAAGAAGGAAUAAACAGACCUUCUGGAUAAUUGCAUCAGCCUUCCCCACUAUUCCAAUGCCAUGCUAACAUUUCAAGUAAUGUCCCUUUUGUCUUGCUGAGAAAAAAUCAUUUCAUGAUUUAUUACACUGGAUUAAAGGCUAUGCACACUCUGGAGUUGGAACAUGACUGAAGGGCAAGCAAGCAUAAAGGAUAUCAGAAACAG
RNAcentral lists this long non-coding RNA (1035 nucleotides) under Homo sapiens (human). RNAcentral's name for it is "long intergenic non-protein coding RNA 616". Lineage: Eukaryota; Metazoa; Chordata; Mammalia; Primates; Hominidae. The record is from RNAcentral.